RNAcentral lists this ribosomal RNA (705 nucleotides) under uncultured Alphaproteobacteria bacterium. Its description in RNAcentral is "bacterial SSU rRNA". It matches the Rfam family "Bacterial small subunit ribosomal RNA", at positions 8 to 761 of the family's 1533-position model. Lineage: Bacteria; Pseudomonadati; Pseudomonadota; Alphaproteobacteria. The record is from RNAcentral.
AGAGUUUGAUCCUGGCUCAGAACGAACGCUGGCGGCAGGCUUAACACAUGCAAGUCGAGCGCCCCGCAAGGGGAGCGGCAGACGGGUGAGUAACGCGUGGGAAUCUACCCAUCACUACGGAACAACUCCGGGAAACUGGAGCUAAUACCGUAUACGUCCUUCGGGAGAAAGAUUUAUCGGUGAUGGAUGAGCCCGCGUUGGAUUAGCUAGUUGGUGGGGUAAUGGCCUACCAAGGCGACGAUCCAUAGCUGGUCUGAGAGGAUGAUCAGCCACACUGGGACUGAGACACGGCCCAGACUCCUACGGGAGGCAGCAGUGGGGAAUAUUGGACAAUGGGCGAAAGCCUGAUCCAGCCAUGCCGCGUGAGUGAUGAAGGCCCUAGGGUUGUAAAGCUCUUUCAACGGUGAAGAUAAUGACGGUAACCGUAGAAGAAGCCCCGGCUAACUUCGUGCCAGCAGCCGCGGUAAUACGAAGGGGGCUAGCGUUGUUCGGAUUUACUGGGCGUAAAGCGCACGUAGGCGGACUAUUAAGUCAGGGGUGAAAUCCCGGGGCUCAACCCCGGAACUGCCUUUGAUACUGGUAGUCUCGAGUCCGGAAGAGGUGAGUGGAAUUCCGAGUGUAGAGGUGAAAUUCGUAGAUAUUCGGAGGAACACCAGUGGCGAAAGCGGCUCACUGGUCCGGUACUGACGCUGAGGUGCGAAAGCG